This is a long non-coding RNA of Lates calcarifer (barramundi perch), 897 nucleotides long. RefSeq lists it as uncharacterized. The transcript is spliced from 3 exons. Lineage: Eukaryota; Metazoa; Chordata; Actinopteri; Centropomidae. The record is from RefSeq and is a predicted model, not a curated record.
AACAGCUGAGUGCAGAGCCGCGGUGCGUUCAGGUGUUUCAGUCUCACGUGAGUCUGAAUGAAACUUUUCUUCUUCUGCAGAAGGAGGAAGUAGCUCUGCUCCGUCAGCAACCAAUCACUGCGCAUUUCCUGUUUCUGCAAAAGUCAGCUGGAUAAUGUGGGUCAGCAGCAGGUUCAUAACUCUGUGUUGGCUCGACGUCAGGAAGCUGCUUGGAAUCGUGGGAGACGGAGUCUGUUCCUGGAAGAUCCAGCUGCAGCAGGAUGAAGUCUCCUCGGUCCAGAACCAGCUCAGGUGUUCGAGUCUGUUUCCUGGAUUUACAGGGACCAGGUCUCUGCAGAACCCCAGGUCCUCAUGUCGUCUGAUUUCCUGCAGAAAGUGACGUCUCUGAACGUCUCUUCACAUAUGAACAACCUGAGCAGAGAGCAGCUGCAGGAAGUAAACGUCACGUCAGAGUCCGUCCACUGUUCUUAUCUCUGACAGAAAACAGACGACGUUAGCGAGCAGCUUUGAGCAGCACAGGAAAGUAUGGACAACUGAAACAUGUAGCUGUUUACUGCUCGUGUUCUCACCUUCACUAGGUGAACAUAGUUAGCUAUGGUUAGCCAACUAAGGUUAGCUUCAUUAGCCUUAGCUGAGCAGCACAGUAAAGGACUGAGCUAGCUGACGAUUAAAACCUGUGACUAAAAACUGGUUGUUCUUUGUUUUUCUGAUUUCAUUGGUCCAGAAUGAAAAUCAAUCGGCCGUUAUGUUCAUGGACGCUACAGGACGCAGGCUGCAGUUCAGCUAACGACCACAGGGGGCAGCAACAACAAGACUUUAUCAGCUUAAUGAAACAUCAGUCAGUUUGUUUCCAGCAGUCGACUGUGAGAGGAGUUCAACAUGGAAAUAUGUGUGUGU